AGCAGCCGCGGUAAUUCCAGCUCCAAUAGCGUAUAUUAAAGUUGUUGCAGUUAAAAAGCUCGUAGUUGAAUUUCGGGACCAAUUUGUUGGUCGUGCCUCGGUACGUACUGGUAUUAUUGGUUUCUCCCUUCUGAAGAACCUCGAUGUCAUUAAUUUGGUGUCGUGGGGAAUCAGGACUGUUACUUUGAAAAAAUUAGAGUGUUUAAAGCAGGCAUACGCUUGAAUACAUUAGCAUGGAAUAAUGAAAUAGGACGUUUGAUUCUAUUUUGUUGGUUUCUAGAAUCGACGUAAUGAUUAAUAGGGAUAGUUGGGGGCAUUAGUAUUCAAUUGUCAGAGGUGAAAUUCUUGGAUUUAUUGAAGACUAACUACUGCGAAAGCAUUUGCCAAGGAUGUUUUCAUUAAUCAAGAACGAAAGUUAGGGGAUCGAAGACGAUCAGAUACCGUCGUAGUCUUAACCAUAAACUAUGCCGACUAGGGAUCGGAUGAUGUAAUUUUUAAUGACUCAUUCGGCGCCUUACGG
Molecule: ribosomal RNA, 520 nt
Filed under: uncultured Glomus
Lineage: Eukaryota; Fungi; Glomeromycota; Glomeromycetes; Glomerales; Glomeraceae
Description: SSU rRNA
Rfam family: Eukaryotic small subunit ribosomal RNA
Source: RNAcentral